UACAGAGGUCUCGAGCGUUGUUCGGAUUCAUUGGGCGUAAAGGGUGCGUAGGUGGCGCUGUAAGUCGGGUGUGAAAUCCUGGGGCUUAACCUCGGAACUGCAUUCGAUACUGCGGUGCUUGAGGACUGGAGAGGAGACUGGAAUUUACGGUGUAGCGGUGAAAUGCGUAGAUAUCGUAAGGAAGACCAGUGGCGAAGGCGGGUCUCUGGACAGUUCCUGACGCUGAGGCACGAAGGCCAGGGGAGCAAACGGG
Molecule: ribosomal RNA, 253 nt
Filed under: uncultured prokaryote
Description: partial 16S ribosomal RNA
Rfam family: Bacterial small subunit ribosomal RNA
Source: RNAcentral